This is a long non-coding RNA of Syngnathus typhle (broad-nosed pipefish), 442 nucleotides long. RefSeq lists it as uncharacterized. The record is from RefSeq and is a predicted model, not a curated record. Lineage: Eukaryota; Metazoa; Chordata; Actinopteri; Syngnathiformes; Syngnathidae. The transcript is spliced from 3 exons.
UGGAGAGGUUUAGCAGCACGUCCGAGUGGACUAUUCCAGACACAGCCACGAGAGUACGGAGAAGGCGAGAUGCAAUUAGGAGAGCAAAAGUCCAAGCGGUUUGCUGCAGGAAUGUUUGCGAGGGUGCUGGGAAAGCUUUAAAAAGCUAGCGCUAAGUUUAGAAGAGGUUCCUCCCCAGGAUGGGACCUCUUGAGCUCUGCUGCUUCCAGCCAGUGGAUCCUUUCUACAAGACUGCUCCUGUUCCAGCUCAAUGAAGGCCUUGUCCCGUGGCACCACACUGCCCAAGGAACGGGCGUCUCCAAAGAAUUCAGAGAGAAGGCAACGUUCAGACUGUUGGUGUUCUGAUGGAAAGUGGAGAAGAGGAACCAGUUUGGCGGUGGUGUAACGUGGCAACUGACAACAGAAACUGGAAAGACACCUCUCCUUAGCUCACGCACACACA